AUGCACAGUCCUAUUGUUUAAUUCGAGUGUCU
This 32-nucleotide non-coding RNA is filed under the name Rattus norvegicus (Norway rat). Lineage: Eukaryota; Metazoa; Chordata; Mammalia; Rodentia; Muridae. The record is from RNAcentral.